GUCCAGCUGAUGAGUCCCAAAUAGGACGAAACGCGCGUCCUGGAU
This is a non-coding RNA of Schistosoma rodhaini, 45 nucleotides long. NCBI's taxonomy places the organism in Eukaryota, Metazoa, Platyhelminthes, Trematoda, Strigeidida, Schistosomatidae. The record is from Rfam.